UGGGGAAUUUUGGACAAUGGGGGAAACCCUGAUCCAGCCAUCCCGCGUGUGCGAUGAAGGCCUUCGGGUUGUAAAGCACUUUUGGCAGGAAAGAAACGUCAUGGGUCAAUACCCCGUGAAACUGACGGUACCUGCAGAAUAAGCACCGGCUAACUACGUGCCAGCAGCCGCGGUAAUACGUAGGGUGCAAGCGUUAAUCGGAAUUACUGGGCGUAAAGCGUGCGCAGGCGGUUCGGAAAGAAAGAUGUGAAAUCCCAGAGCUCAACUUUGGAACUGCAUUUUUAACUACCGGGCUAGAGUGUGUCAGAGGGAGGUGGAAUUCCGCGUGUAGCAGUGAAAUGCGUAGAUAUGCGGAGGAACACCGAUGGCGAAGGCAGCCUCCUGGGAUAACACUGACGCUCAUGCACGAAAGCGUGGGGAGCAAACAGG
Molecule: ribosomal RNA, 429 nt
Filed under: Acidobacteriota bacterium
Lineage: Bacteria; Pseudomonadati; Acidobacteriota
Description: Acidobacteria bacterium partial 16S ribosomal RNA
Rfam family: Bacterial small subunit ribosomal RNA
Source: RNAcentral